GAUGAACGCUGGCGGCGUGCCUAAUACAUGCAAGUCGAGCGAACAGACGAGGAGCUUGCUCCUCUGACGUUAGCGGCGGACGGGUGAGUAACACGUGGACAACCUACCUAUAAGACUGGGAUACCUUCGGGAAACCGGAGCUAAUACCGGAUAAUAUAUUGAACCGCAUGGUUCAAUAGUGAAAGACGGUUUUGCUGUCACUUAUAGAUGGAUCCGCGCCGCAUUAGCUAGUUGGUAAGGUAACGGCUUACCAAGGCAACGAUGCGUAGCCGACCUGAGCGGGUGGUCGGCCACCCUGGAACUGAGACACGGUCCAGACUCCUACGGUGGGCAGCAGUAGGGAAUCUUCCGCAAUGGGCGAAAGCCUGACGGAGCAACGCCGCGUGAGUGAUGAAGGUCUUCGGAUCGUAAAACUCUGUUAUUAUUGAAGAACAAAUGUGUAAGUAACUAUGCACGUCUUGACGGUACCUAAUCAGAAAGCCACGGCUAACUACGUG
Molecule: ribosomal RNA, 497 nt
Filed under: uncultured bacterium
Lineage: Bacteria
Description: partial 16S ribosomal RNA
Rfam family: Bacterial small subunit ribosomal RNA
Source: RNAcentral